This 60-nucleotide transfer RNA is filed under the name Elateroidea sp. 8 KM-2017. RNAcentral's name for it is "tRNA-Ala". The record is from RNAcentral. Lineage: Eukaryota; Metazoa; Arthropoda; Insecta; Coleoptera.
AGGAUAAAAGUUUUUUAAACAUUUAAUUUGCAAUUAAAAAAUAUUGUAUAAUUUAUCUUA